GACGAACGCUGGCGGCGUGCUUAACACAUGCAAGUCGAACGAUGAAGCUGGAGCUUGCUCCAGUGGAUUAGUGGCGAACGGGUGAGUAACACGUGAGCAAUCUGCCAUUGACUCUGGGAUAACUGCGGGAAACUGUAGCUCAUACCGGAUACGACACCUUGGGGCAUCCCGGGGUGUGGAAAGAAUUUCGGUCAAGGAUGAGCUCGCGGCCUAUCAGCUUGUUGGUGAGGUAAAGGCUCACCAAGGCGACGACGGGUAGCCGGCCUGAGAGGGUGACCGGCCACACUGGAACUGAGACACGGUCCAGACUCCUACGGGAGGCAGCAGUGGGGAAUAUUGCACAAUGGGCGAAAGCCUGAUGCAGCAACGCCGCGUGAGGGAUGACGGCCUUCGGGUUGUAAACCUCUUUUAGCAGGGAAGAAGCGAAAGUGACGGUACCUGCAGAAUAAGCACCGGCUAACUACGUGCCAGCCGCCGCAGUAA
This 483-nucleotide ribosomal RNA is filed under the name uncultured bacterium. RNAcentral describes it as "partial 16S ribosomal RNA". It matches the Rfam family "Bacterial small subunit ribosomal RNA", at positions 28 to 523 of the family's 1533-position model. The record is from RNAcentral.